Molecule: ribosomal RNA, 240 nt
Filed under: uncultured bacterium
Lineage: Bacteria
Description: partial 16S ribosomal RNA
Rfam family: Bacterial small subunit ribosomal RNA
Source: RNAcentral
CCGGCGCACGGGUGAGUAACGCGUAUGCAACUUACCUAUCAGGAGGGGAUAACCCGGCGAAAGUCGGACUAAUACCGCAUAAAGCAGGGAUCCCGCAUGAGAAUAUUUGCUAAAGAUUCAUCGCUGAUAGAUAGGCAUGCGUUCCAUUAGGCAGUUGGCGGGGUAACGGCCCACCAAACCGACGAUGGAUAGGGGUUCUGAGAGGAAGGUCCCCCACAUUGGUACUGAGACACGGACCAA